AGUGUAGCUCAUAUUUUUUAAUUUUAGUUUGGUUAAGUUAGAAAGGGCGCACGGUGGAUGCCUUGACACUAGGAGUCGAUGAAGGACGGGACUAACGCCGAUAUGCUUCGGGGAGCUGUAAGUAAGCUUUGAUCCGAAGAUUUCCGAAUGGGGAAACCCACCAUACGUAAUGGUAUGGUAUCCUUAUCUGAAUACAUAGGGUAAGGAAGACAGACCCAGGGAACUGAAACAUCUAAGUACCUGGAGGAAGAGAAAGCAAAUGCGAUUUCCUGAGUAGCGGCGAGCGAAACGGAACAUAGCCCAAACCAAGAGGCUUGCCUCUUGGGGUUGUAGGACAUUCUAUACGGAGUUACAAAGGAACGAGGUAGACGAAGCGACCUGGAAAGGUCCGUCGUAGAGGGUAACAACCCCGUAGUCGAAACUUCGUUCUCUCUUGAAUGUAUCCUGAGUACGGCGGAACACGUGAAAUUCCGUCGGAAUCUGGGAGGACCAUCUCCCAAGGCUAAAUACUCCCUAGUGAUCGAUAGUGAACCAGUACCGUGAGGGAAAGGUGAAAAGCACCCCGGAAGGGGAGUGAAAGAGAUCCUGAAACCGUGUGCCUACAAAUAGUCAGAGCCCGUUAACGGGUGAUGGCGUGCCUUUUGUAGAAUGAACCGGCGAGUUACGAUCCCGUGCGAGGUUAAGCUGAAGAGGCGGAGCCGCAGCGAAAGCGAGUCUGAAUAGGGCGUUUAGUACGUGGUCGUAGACCCGAAACCAGGUGAUCUACCCAUGUCCAGGGUGAAGUUCAGGUAACACUGAAUGGAGGCCCGAACCCACGCACGUUGAAAAGUGCGGGGAUGAGGUGUGGGUAGCGGAGAAAUUCCAAUCGAACCUGGAGAUAGCUGGUUCUCCCCGAAAUAGCUUUAGGGCUAGCCUUAAGUGUAAGAGUCUUGGAGGUAGAGCACUGAUUGGACUAGGGGUCCUCAUCGGAUUACCGAAUUCAGUCAAACUCCGAAUGCCAAUGACUUAUCCUUAGGAGUCAGACUGCGAGUGAUAAGAUCCGUAGUCAAAAGGGAAACAGCCCAGACCGCCAGCUAAGGUCCCAAAGUGUGUAUUAAGUGGAAAAGGAUGUGGAGUUGCUUAGACAACUAGGAUGUUGGCUUAGAAGCAGCCACCAUUUAAAGAGUGCGUAAUAGCUCACUAGUCGAGUGACUCUGCGCCGAAAAUGUACCGGGGCUAAAUACACCACCGAAGCUGCGGAUUGAUACCAAUGGUAUCAGUGGUAGGGGAGCGUUCUAAGGACAGUGAAGUCAGACCGGAAGGACUGGUGGAGUGCUUAGAAGUGAGAAUGCCGGUAUGAGUAGCGAAAGACGGGUGAGAAUCCCGUCCACCGAAUGCCUAAGGUUUCCUGAGGAAGGCUCGUCCGCUCAGGGUUAGUCAGGACCUAAGCCGAGGCCGACAGGCGUAGGCGAUGGACAACAGGUUGAUAUUCCUGUACCACCUCUUUAUCGUUUGAGCAAUGGAGGGACGCAGAAGGAUAGAAGAAGCGUGCGAUUGGUUGUGCACGUCCAAGCAGUUAGGCUGAUAAGUAGGCAAAUCCGCUUAUCGUGAAGGCUGAGCUGUGAUGGGGAAGCUCCUUAUGGAGCGAAGUCUUUGAUUCCCCGCUGCCAAGAAAAGCUUCUAGCGAGAUAAAAGGUGCCUGUACCGCAAACCGACACAGGUAGGCGAGGAGAGAAUCCUAAGGUGUGCGAGAGAACUCUGGUUAAGGAACUCGGCAAAAUGACCCCGUAACUUCGGGAGAAGGGGUGCUUUCUUAACGGAAAGCCGCAGUGAAUAGGCCCAAGCGACUGUUUAGCAAAAACACAGCUCUCUGCGAAGCCGUAAGGCGAAGUAUAGGGGGUGACACCUGCCCGGUGCUGGAAGGUUAAGGAGAGGGGUUAGCGUAAGCGAAGCUCUGAACUGAAGCCCCAGUAAACGGCGGCCGUAACUAUAACGGUCCUAAGGUAGCGAAAUUCCUUGUCGGGUAAGUUCCGACCCGCACGAAAGGUGUAACGAUUUGGGCACUGUCUCAACCAGAGACUCGGUGAAAUUAUAGUACCUGUGAAGAUGCAGGUUACCCGCGACAGGACGGAAAGACCCCGUGGAGCUUUACUGUAGCCUGAUAUUGAAUUUUGGUACAGUUUGUACAGGAUAGGCGGGAGCCAUUGAAACCGGAGCGCUAGCUUCGGUGGAGGCGCUGGUGGGAUACCGCCCUGACUGUAUUGAAAUUCUAACCUACGGGUCUUAUCGACCCGGGAGACAGUGUCAGGUGGGCAGUUUGACUGGGGCGGUCGCCUCCUAAAGUGUAACGGAGGCGCCCAAAGGUUCCCUCAGAAUGGUUGGAAAUCAUUCGUAGAGUGCAAAGGCAUAAGGGAGCUUGACUGCGAGACCUACAAGUCGAGCAGGGACGAAAGUCGGGCUUAGUGAUCCGGUGGUUCCGCAUGGAAGGGCCAUCGCUCAACGGAUAAAAGCUACCCCGGGGAUAACAGGCUUAUCUCCCCCAAGAGUCCACAUCGACGGGGAGGUUUGGCACCUCGAUGUCGGCUCAUCGCAUCCUGGGGCUGUAGUCGGUCCCAAGGGUUGGGCUGUUCGCCCAUUAAAGCGGUACGCGAGCUGGGUUCAGAACGUCGUGAGACAGUUCGGUCCCUAUCCGUCGUGGGCGUAGGAAAUUUGAGAGGAGCUGUCCUUAGUACGAGAGGACCGGGAUGGACGCACCGCUGGUGUACCAGUUGUUCUGCCAAGGGCAUAGCUGGGUAGCUAUGUGCGGAAGGGAUAAGUGCUGAAAGCAUCUAAGCAUGAAGCCCCCCUCAAGAUGAGAUUUCCCAUAGCGUAAGCUAGUAAGAUCCCUGAAAGAUGAUCAGGUUGAUAGGUUCGAGGUGGAAGCAUGGUGACAUGUGGAGCUGACGAAUACUAAUAGAUCGAGAACUUAACCAU
RNAcentral lists this ribosomal RNA (2952 nucleotides) under Bacillus cereus. Its description in RNAcentral is "23S ribosomal RNA". It matches the Rfam family "Bacterial large subunit ribosomal RNA". The record is from RNAcentral. Lineage: Bacteria; Bacillati; Bacillota; Bacilli; Caryophanales; Bacillaceae.